This 348-nucleotide ribosomal RNA is filed under the name Triticum aestivum (bread wheat). Its description in RNAcentral is "partial small subunit ribosomal RNA". The record is from RNAcentral. Lineage: Eukaryota; Viridiplantae; Streptophyta; Magnoliopsida; Poales; Poaceae.
AUGAUGAAUACAAACCCAAUUCAUUGGAGUAGGGCUUACAUGAAGCUGGGAAGCUACUGUGAUUCAGUUGACAAUAAUAUGUGUGAGUUAUUCGACAACUGGAUUAUGGAAUCAAGAUAUCUACCUAUUAUAUCUAUGCUGGAGUGGAUAAGAUGCAAAAUUAUGGUGAGGAUACAAGAAUGCAUUACCAAGUGUUUGAAAUGGUCAGGAAUCAUAUGCCCAAACAUAUUUAAAAAACUGAAGCAGAAUAUAACAAGAUCUGGAAAUUGCCAUGUGCUAUGGAAUGGAAAAGAUGGGUGUAACACCCACGAUGCGGCUAUAUCUCCCACGUGUCGGAGCACGACUUAG